UACGGGGGGGAGCAAGCGUUGUUCGGAUUUACUGGGCGUAAAGGGCGCGUAGGCGGCGUGACAAGUCACUUGUGAAAUCUCCGGGCUUAACUCGGAACGGUCAAGUGAUACUGUCGUGCUAGAGUACAGAAGGGGCAACUGGAAUUCUCGGUGUAGCGGUGAAAUGCGCAGAUAUCAGGAGGAACACCGGUGGCGAAGGCGGGUCUCUGGGCCGAUACUGACGCUGAGGAGCGAAAGCGUGGGGAGCGAACAGG
This 254-nucleotide ribosomal RNA is filed under the name uncultured bacterium. Its description in RNAcentral is "partial 16S ribosomal RNA". It matches the Rfam family "Bacterial small subunit ribosomal RNA", at positions 524 to 776 of the family's 1533-position model. The record is from RNAcentral.